RNAcentral lists this microRNA precursor (103 nucleotides) under Cricetulus griseus (Chinese hamster). RNAcentral's name for it is "miRNA (ENSCGRG00001002100.1)". Lineage: Eukaryota; Metazoa; Chordata; Mammalia; Rodentia; Cricetidae. The record is from RNAcentral.
GGUGUGGCCUGUUGGAGGAAGUGUGUCACUGGGGGUGGGCUUUGAAGUUUCAGAAGCUCAAGCCAGGCCUAGUGCCUGUCUCUCUUUCUGUUGCUUGCUGAUC